RNAcentral lists this ribosomal RNA (301 nucleotides) under uncultured bacterium. RNAcentral describes it as "partial 16S ribosomal RNA". It matches the Rfam family "Bacterial small subunit ribosomal RNA", at positions 509 to 807 of the family's 1533-position model. The record is from RNAcentral.
CAGUAGCCGCGGUAAUACGUAGGUGGCAAGCGUUGUCCGGAAUUAUUGGGCGUAAAGGGCUCGCAGGCGGUUUCUUAAGCCUGAUGUGAAAGCCCCCGGCUCAACCGGGGAGGGUCAUUGGAAACUGGGAAACUUGAGUGCAGAAGAGGAGAGUGGAAUUCCACGUGUAGCGGUGAAAUGCGUAGAGAUGUGGAGGAACACCAGUGGCGAAGGCGACUCUCUGGUCUGUAACUGACGCUGAGGAGCGAAAGCGUGGGGAGCGAACAGGAUUAGAUACCCCUGUAGUCCCUGUCUCUUAUAC